Molecule: ribosomal RNA, 480 nt
Filed under: uncultured bacterium
Lineage: Bacteria
Description: bacterial SSU rRNA
Rfam family: Bacterial small subunit ribosomal RNA
Source: RNAcentral
CGGUGUGCUUAACACAUGCAAGUCGUGCGACGAACCAGACUUCGGUCUGGGGCAAAGCGGCGAACGGGUGAGUAACACGUGGGUAAUCUGCCCCGAUGACUGGGACAACCCGAGGAAACUCGGGCUAAUACCGGAUGUGGUGCCUGGACUCAAGUCCGGUCACUAAAGGUAGCUUCGGCUUCCGCAUUGGGAGGGGCCCGCGGCCAUUAGCUUGUUGGUGGGGUCAAAGGCCUACCAAGGCAACGAUGGGUAGCUGGUCUGAGAGGACGAUCAGCCACACUGGGACUGAGACACGGCCCAGACUCCUACGGAGGCAGCAGUGGGGAACCUUGCGCAAUGCGCGAAAGCGUGACGCAGCAACACCGCGUGAGGGAAGACGGCCUUAGGGUUGUAAACCUCUUUCAGAUGGGACGAAGGUGAUGCGGUGAAUAGCCGAUGUCAUUGACGGUACCGUCAGAAGAAGCUCCGGCUAACUACGUG